GGGGAACAUGACCUCAUUUGUUGAGGGGAAGUGAAGAAAAGGUCAGUGUAACUGAGGAGAGAAUCUGCUCAGAAGACUUGCAGCUUUGGGUGGGUAAGAGAGCGCGUAUGCCAAAAUGUUACUUGCACCAAUUUCCAAGAAUGGCAGGAUGUGGGACACGAAGGUCCGAGCCAGGGCAGCACCCUGCUGGUAUGAUGGGACUGUGCCCAAGAGAAGAGUCUUCCUGCAUUAUUGCUCAGAAAAUGUCGUUCCUCUGUGUUCAGCCCUGCAGAUGACUGGCUCCACCUCUAGGCGAAUGACAGUUGGCUUUACAGGCUAAAGAAAUGGAAAGGGGAACCUGCAUUGAAGAUUAAAGCACAAAGGCUUUGGCAGAUUCUCUGAAAAAGUUACUUAAUGUAUUCUAUUAUGUGCCCUUAUUUUAC
This 422-nucleotide long non-coding RNA is filed under the name Athene cunicularia (burrowing owl). Its description in RNAcentral is "lncRNA (ENSACUG00000010581.1)". Lineage: Eukaryota; Metazoa; Chordata; Aves; Strigiformes; Strigidae. The record is from RNAcentral.